Molecule: ribosomal RNA, 207 nt
Filed under: uncultured bacterium
Lineage: Bacteria
Description: partial 16S ribosomal RNA
Rfam family: Bacterial small subunit ribosomal RNA
Source: RNAcentral
UACAGAGGUCUCAAGCGUUGUUCGGAUUCAUUGGGCGUAAAGGGUGCGUAGGCGGCGCGGUAAGUCGGGUGUGAAAUCUCGGAGCUUAACUCCGAAACUGCAUUCGAUACUGCUGUGCUUGAGGACUGGAGAGGAGACUGGAAUUACGGUGUAGCGGUGAAAUGCGUAGAUAUCGUAAGGAAGACCAGUGGCGAAGGCGGGGUCUCU